UACGGGGGGGGCAAGCGUUGUUCGGAAUUACUGGGCGUAAAGGGCUCGUAGGCGGCCAACUAAGUCGGAUGUGAAAUCCCCAGGCUUAACCUGGGAAUUGCAUCCGAUACUGGAUGGCUUGAAUCCGGGAGAGGGAUGCGGAAUUCCAGGUGUAGCGGUGAAAUGCGUAGAUAUCUGGAGGAACACCGGUGGCGAAGGCGGCAUCCUGGACCGGCAUUGACGCUGAGUGAGCGAAAGCCAGGGGAGCAAACGGG
Molecule: ribosomal RNA, 254 nt
Filed under: uncultured bacterium
Lineage: Bacteria
Description: partial 16S ribosomal RNA
Rfam family: Bacterial small subunit ribosomal RNA
Source: RNAcentral